AGGCCGAAAGGCGUAGUCGAUGGGAAACAGGUUAAUAUUCCUGUACUUGGUGUUACUGCGAAGGGGGGACGGAGAAGGCUAUGUUAGCCGGGCGACGGUUGUCCCGGUUUAAGCAUGUAGGCUGGUUGUCCAGGCAAAUCCGGAUAAUCAAGGCUGAGGUGUGAUGACGAGGCACUACGGUGCUGAAGUAACAAAUGCCCUGCUUCCAGGAAAAGCCUCUAAGCAUCAGGUAACAUUAAAUCGUACCCCAAACCGACACAGGUGGUCAGGUAGAGAAUACCAAGGCGCUUGAGAGAACUCGGGUGAAGGAACUAGGCAAAAUGGUGCCGUAACUUCGGGAGAAGGCACGCUGGUGUGUAGGUGAAGUCCCUGCGGAUGGAGCUGAGACCAGUCGAAGAUACCAGCUGGCUGCAACUGUUUAUUAAAAACACAGCACUGUGCAAACACGAAAGUGGACGUAUACGGUGUGACGCCUGCCCGGUGCCGGAAGGUUAAUUGAUGGGGUUAUCCGUAAGGAGAAGCUCUUGAUCGAAGCCCCGGUAAACGGCGGCCGUAACUAUAACGGUCCUAAGGUAGCGAAAUUCCUUGUCGGGUAAGUUCCGACCUGCACGAAUGGCGUAAUGAUGGCCAGGCUGUCUCCACCCGAGACUCAGUGAAAUUGAACUCGCUGUGAAGAUGCAGUGUACCCGCGGCAAGACGGAAAGACCCCGUGAACCUUUACUAUAGCUUGACACUGAACAUUGAGCCUUGAUGUGUAGGAUAGGUGGGAGGCUUUGAAGCGUGGACGCCAGUCUGCGUGGAGCCAACCUUGAAAUACCACCCUUUAAUGUUUGAUGUUCUAACGUUGGCCCCUUACCGGGGUUGCGGACAGUGUCUGGUGGGUAGUUUGACUGGGGCGGUCUCCUCCCAAAGCGUAACGGAGGAGCACGAAGGUUAGCUAAUCCUGGUCGGACAUCAGGAGGUUAGUGCAAUGGCAUAAGCUAGCUUGACUGCGAGCGUGACGGCGCGAGCAGGUGCGAAAGCAGGUCAUAGUGAUCCGGUGGUUCUGAAUGGAAGGGCCAUCGCUCAACGGAUAAAAGGUACUCCGGGGAUAACAGGCUGAUACCGCCCAAGAGUUCAUAUCGACGGCGGUGUUUGGCACCUCGAUGUCGGCUCAUCACAUCCUGGGGCUGAAGUAGGUCCCAAGGGUAUGGCUGUUCGCCAUUUAAAGUGGUACGCGAGCUGGGUUUAGAACGUCGUGAGACAGUUCGGUCCCUAUCUGCCGUGGGCGCUGGAGAAUUGAGGGGGGCUGCUCCUAGUACGAGAGGACCGGAGUGGACGCAUCACUGGUGUUCGGGUUGUCAUGCCAAUGGCACUGCCCGGUAGCUAAAUGCGGAAGAGAUAAGUGCUGAAAGCAUCUAAGCACGAAACUUGCCCCGAGAUGAGUUCUCCCUGAGACUUUAAGUCUCCUGAAGGAACGUUGAAGACGACGACGUUGAUAGGCCGGGUGUGUAAGCGCAGCGAUGCGUUGAGCUAACCGGUACUAAUGAACCGUGAGGCUUAACCUU
RNAcentral lists this ribosomal RNA (1547 nucleotides) under Klebsiella pneumoniae. RNAcentral's name for it is "partial 23S ribosomal RNA". It matches the Rfam family "Bacterial large subunit ribosomal RNA", at positions 1399 to 2925 of the family's 2925-position model. Lineage: Bacteria; Pseudomonadati; Pseudomonadota; Gammaproteobacteria; Enterobacterales; Enterobacteriaceae. The record is from RNAcentral.